Molecule: ribosomal RNA, 274 nt
Filed under: uncultured bacterium
Lineage: Bacteria
Description: partial 16S ribosomal RNA
Rfam family: Bacterial small subunit ribosomal RNA
Source: RNAcentral
CUACGGAGGGUGCAAGCGUUAUCCGGAAUCAUUGGGUUUAAAGGGUCCGUAGGCGGACUAUUAAGUCAGAGGUGAAAUCCCACAGCUCAACUGUGGAACUGCCCUUGAUACUGGUAGUCUUGAGUUAUAUGGAAGUAGAUAGAAUGUGUAGUGUAGCGGUGAAAUGCAUAGAUAUUACACAGAAUACCGAUUGCGAAGGCAGUCUACUACGUAUAUACUGACGCUAAGGGACGAAAGCGUGGGGAGCAAACAGGAUUAGAAACCCGAGUAGUCC